RNAcentral lists this ribosomal RNA (567 nucleotides) under uncultured archaeon. RNAcentral describes it as "bacterial SSU rRNA". It matches the Rfam family "Archaeal small subunit ribosomal RNA", at positions 312 to 879 of the family's 1478-position model. The record is from RNAcentral.
CGCGAUUCGCCCUUCGGGGUGCAGCAGGCGCGAAAACUUUACAAUGCUGGAAACAGCGAUUGGGGGACUUUGAGUGCCAGGAUACAAUUCUGGCUGUCGUCGUGCCUAAAAAGCACGGCAUAGCAAGGGCCGGGCAAGACCGGUGCCAGCCGCCGCGGUAACACCGGCGGCUCGAGUGGUAACCGCUAUUAUUGGGUCUAAAGGGUCUGUAGCCGGCUGAAAAAGUCUCUUGGGAAAUCCGGCAGCUUAACUGUCGGGCUUUCAGGAGAUACUCUUCGGCUCGAGACCGGGAGAGGUGAGAGGUACUUCAUGGGUAGGGGUGAAAUCUUGUAAUCCUUGAAGGACCACCAGUGGCAAAGGCGUCUCACCAGAACGGAUCUGACGGCAAGGGACGAAAGCUAGGGGCACGAACCGGAUUAGAUACCCGGGUAGUCCUAGCCGUAAACGAUACUCGCUAGGUGUCGGCCACGGUGCGACCGUGGUCAGUGCCGUAAGGAAGCCGUGAAGCGAGCCACCUGGGAAGUACGGCCGCAAGGCUGAAACUUAAAGGAAUUGGCGGGGGAGCAC